This 239-nucleotide ribosomal RNA is filed under the name uncultured bacterium. RNAcentral's name for it is "partial 16S ribosomal RNA". It matches the Rfam family "Bacterial small subunit ribosomal RNA", at positions 100 to 334 of the family's 1533-position model. The record is from RNAcentral.
CCGGCACGGGUGAGUAACACGUAUCCAACCUGCCGUCUACUCUUGGCCAGCCUUCUGAAAGGAAGGUUAAUCCAGGAUGGGAUCAUGAGUUCACAUGUCCGCAUGAUUAAAGGUAUUUUCCAGUAAACGAUGGGGAUGCGUUCCAUUAGAUAGUAGGCGGGGUAACGGCCCACCUAGUCAACGAUGGAUAGGGGUUCUGAGAGGAAGGUCCCCCACAUUGGAACUGAGACACGGUCCAA